RNAcentral lists this ribosomal RNA (353 nucleotides) under uncultured bacterium. RNAcentral's name for it is "bacterial SSU rRNA". It matches the Rfam family "Bacterial small subunit ribosomal RNA", at positions 917 to 1269 of the family's 1533-position model. The record is from RNAcentral.
GGGCCCGCACAAGCGGUGGAGUAUGUGGUUUAAUUCGAUGCAACGCGAAGAACCUUACCAGGGUUUGACAUCCUGCGAAUCUCUUGGAAACGAGAGAGUGCCUUCGGGAACGCAGUGACAGGUGGUGCAUGGCUGUCGUCAGCUCGUGUCGUGAGAUGUUGGGUUAAGUCCCUUAACGAGCGCAACCCCUAUCUCUAGUUGCCAGCGGAUAAUGCCGGGGACUCUAGAGAAACUGCCCGUGCAAACGGUGAGGAAGGUGGGGAUGACGUCAAAUCAUCACGGCCCUUACGUCCUGGGCUACACACGUGCUACAAUGGUCGGUACAGAGGGCAGCUACCACGUGAGUGGAUGCA